Molecule: ribosomal RNA, 253 nt
Filed under: uncultured bacterium
Lineage: Bacteria
Description: partial 16S ribosomal RNA
Rfam family: Bacterial small subunit ribosomal RNA
Source: RNAcentral
UACAGAGGAGCCAAGCGUUGUCCGGAUUGACUGGGCGUAAAGCGCACGCAGGCGGUCUGGCGCGUGGGGUGUGAAAUCUGGCCGCUUAACGGCCAGGCGCCAUCCCAUACGGCCGGACUGGAGCCUUGCAGAGGUCGGUGGAAUUGCCGGUGUAGUGGUGAAAUGCGUAGAGAUCGGCAGGAACACCCAGGGGGAAACCAGCCGACUGGGCAUAUGCUGACGCUGAGGUGCGAGAGCGUGGGGAGCGAACCGG